RNAcentral lists this ribosomal RNA (1034 nucleotides) under Bacillus licheniformis. RNAcentral describes it as "bacterial SSU rRNA". It matches the Rfam family "Bacterial small subunit ribosomal RNA", at positions 30 to 1058 of the family's 1533-position model. Lineage: Bacteria; Bacillati; Bacillota; Bacilli; Caryophanales; Bacillaceae. The record is from RNAcentral.
UGAAAUGCGGGUGCUAAUAAUGCAGUCGAGCGGACCGACGGGAGCUUGCUCCCUUAGGUCAGCGGCGGACGGGUGAGUAACACGUGGGUAACCUGCCUGUAAGACUGGGAUAACUCCGGGAAACCGGGGCUAAUACCGGAUGCUUGAUUGAACCGCAUGGUUCAAUCAUAAAAGGUGGCUUUUAGCUACCACUUGCAGAUGGACCCGCGGCGCAUUAGCUAGUUGGUGAGGUAACGGCUCACCAAGGCGACGAUGCGUAGCCGACCUGAGAGGGUGAUCGGCCACACUGGGACUGAAACACGGCCCAGACUCCUACGGGAGGCAGCAGUAGGGAAUCUUCCGCAAUGGACGAAAGUCUGACGGAACAACGCCGCGUGAGUGAUGAAGGUUUUCGGAUCGUAAAACUCUGUUGUUAGGGAAGAACAAGUACCGUUCGAAUAGGGCGGUACCUUGACGGUACCUAACCAGAAAGCCACGGCUAACUACGUGCCAGCAGCCGCGGUAAUACGUAGGUGGCAAGCGUUGUCCGGAAUUAUUGGGCGUAAAGCGCGCGCAGGCGGUUUCUUAAGUCUGAUGUGAAAGCCCCCGGCUCAACCGGGGAGGGUCAUUGGAAACUGGGGAACUUGAGUGCAGAAGAAGAGAGUGGAAUUCCACGUGUAGCGGUGAAAUGCGUAGAGAUGUGGAGGAACACCAGUGGCGAAGGCGACUCUCUGGUCUGUAACUGACGCUGAGGCGCGAAAGCGUGGGGAGCGAACAGGAUUAGAUACCCUGGUAGUCCACGCCGUAAACGAUGAGUGCUAAGUGUUAGAGGGUUUCCGCCCUUUAGUGCUGCAGCAAACGCAUUAAGCACUCCGCCUGGGGAGUACGGUCGCAAGACUGAAACUCAAAGGAAUUGACGGGGCCCGCACAAGCGGUGGAGCAUGUGGUUUAAUUCGAAGCACGCGAAGAACCUUACCAGUCUUGACAUCCUCUGACAACCCUAGAGAUAGGGCUUCCCCUUCGGGGCAGAGUGACAGUGUGCAUGGUGUCGUCAG